AGUGAACGCUGGCGGUAGGCCUAACACAUGCAAGUCGAACGGCAGCACAGUAAGAGCUUGCUCUUACGGGUGGCGAGUGGCGGACGGGUGAGGAAUACAUCGGAAUCUACUUUUUCGUGGGGGAUAACGUAGGGAAACUUACGCUAAUACCGCAUACGACCUACGGUUGAAAGCAGUGGAUCUUCGGACCUUGCGCGAUUGAAUGAGCCGAUGUCGGAUUAGCUAGUUGGCGGGGUAAAGGCCCACCAAGGCGACGAUCCGUAGCUGGUCUGAGAGGAUGAUCAGCCACACUGGAACUGAGACACGGUCCAGACUCCUACGGGAGGCAGCAGUGGGGAAUAUUGGACAAUGGGCGCAAGCAUGAUCCAGCCAGACCGCGUGGGUGAAGAAGGCCUUCGGGUUGUAAAGACCUUUUGUUGGGAAAGAAAAGCAGCAGGUUAAUACCCCGCUGUUCUGACGGUACCCAAAGAAUAAGCACCGGCUAACUUCGUG
This 492-nucleotide ribosomal RNA is filed under the name uncultured bacterium. RNAcentral's name for it is "partial 16S ribosomal RNA". It matches the Rfam family "Bacterial small subunit ribosomal RNA", at positions 29 to 507 of the family's 1533-position model. The record is from RNAcentral.